GGUUGAUCCUGCCAGUAGUCAUAUGCUUGUCCUAAAGAUUAAGCCAUGCAUGUGUAAGUAUAAACCGAAUUUUUAUUGGUGAAACUGCGAAUGGCUCAUUAAAUCAGUUAUAAUUUAUUUGGUGAAAUAAUAAGAAUAUAUGGAUAACUGUGGUAAUUCUAGAGCUAAUACAUGAAAAGGAAUUUAUUUCCUUUGUAUUUAUUAGAUUAAAAAACCAAAAGUACAAUGUACUUGAAAGGGGUGAUUCAUGAUAACUUUUACGGAUCAAACUUAUAAUUGUUUGACGCACCAUU
Molecule: ribosomal RNA, 293 nt
Filed under: uncultured eukaryote
Lineage: Eukaryota
Description: partial 18S ribosomal RNA
Rfam family: Eukaryotic small subunit ribosomal RNA
Source: RNAcentral